UGUAGGCGCAGCGAAAGCGAGUCUUAAUAGGGCGCAUGAGUUAGAUGGAUCAGACCCGAAACCGAGUGAUCUAGGCAUGACCAGGAUGAAGGUAAGGUAACACUUACUGGAGGUCCGAACCCACACCUGUUGAAAAAGGUCGGGAUGAGUUGUGCCUAGGGGUGAAAGGCCAAUCAAACUCGGAGAUAGCUGGUUCUCUGCGAAAUCUAUUUAGGUAGAGCGUCGACCGAAUACCCUCGGGGGUAGAGCACUGGAUGGGCUAUGGGGGCUUACCGCCUUACUGAUCCUAACCAAACUCCGAAUACCGAGAAGUACUAUCCGGCAGACACACAGUGGGUGCUAACGUCCAUUGUGAAGAGGGAAACAACCCUGACCGCCAGUUAAGGUCCCUAAGUUAUGGCUAAGUGGGAAAGGAUGUAGAAAUCCCAAAACAACCAGGAUGUUGGCUUAGAAGCAGCCAUCAUUUAAAGAAAGCGUAACAGCUCACUGGUCUA
This 494-nucleotide ribosomal RNA is filed under the name Pseudo-nitzschia fraudulenta. RNAcentral's name for it is "partial Bacterial large subunit ribosomal RNA". It matches the Rfam family "Bacterial large subunit ribosomal RNA", at positions 661 to 1152 of the family's 2925-position model. The record is from RNAcentral. Lineage: Eukaryota; Bacillariophyta; Bacillariophyceae; Bacillariales; Bacillariaceae.